AUACUAUGUUUCUAGGGUUCCUCGGUUGAAUGUUACCGGAAUGGUCCAAGAGAAACGCGCAGGAAUCUGCGUACACGGAGGGAAAAAAGCCCGGGAGGU
Non-coding RNA from Bacillus sp. FJAT-22058, 99 nucleotides. NCBI's taxonomy places the organism in Bacteria, Bacillati, Bacillota, Bacilli, Caryophanales, Bacillaceae. The record is from Rfam.